AUCCGAGUGCUGGAAUUGGUAGGACAGUCUUAAGUUAAGCUUAAGUGGCGCAAGCCGUAAACGUUCGACUCGUUUCUCGGGUA
This is a non-coding RNA of Melampsora americana, 83 nucleotides long. The record is from the annotation of a GenBank genome assembly. NCBI's taxonomy places the organism in Eukaryota, Fungi, Basidiomycota, Pucciniomycetes, Pucciniales, Melampsoraceae.